AACGGUCCAUAUCGGUCGAUCCCAAAUCGCGAUGGACUCACCGCUGGGGUCUCCUGGUCGCUCUCUGAAGUCGUGUCGCUGCUGACGCUGUCCGGCCUCCUGGGGACAGCCGCAGACACUGACCCCGGCCCCCCAGGGGCGGCGGUCUGGGAGGGUGUGGAGGCCGCUCUAAGGGGCGUCUUCACAGGGGUGGUGGGAGGGGCCUCAUCCUCGCUGUCCGAGGACUCGGUCUCACUGGAGCUCUCUGCGGCCUGGGCUGCUCUGGUGGCGGCGGCCUCCGGGGUCUUCUUGGCUGAAGGAGCGGCUCCGACCGCUUUGGUCUUGGGUGCAGCAGUGACCCGAGCGGCCGGGGCGGUCGUGGUGGCGGGAGGUUUUUUGGGGGCGUCCCCAUCAUCACUUUCCUCACUGGACUCAGUGGUGGACCCAGCAGAGGGCGUGGCCCCAGUGGGGCCCGGGGCCGCAGGAGGGGGGGCCUUGGAGGGUGUAGAGGCCGCUCUGAGGGGCGUCUUAGGUGUGGUGGGAGGGGCCUCAUCGUCAGUCCCCGAGGAAUCCGUCUCACUAGAGCUCUUGGCGGCCUGGGCCGGUCUGGCGGCAGCAGGAGAAGCCUUCCUAUUGGCUGUCGGCGUGGCUGCCUGUUGGUUCCCAGGCAGCGAUCCCUCGUCGCUGUCUGAAGACGACUCGCUGCUGUCGCUGUCUGCCUUCCUGGGGCCUCCAGCGGGGGUCCUGGCAGCGGGGGUCCUGGCAGCGGGGGUCCAGGCAGCGGGGGUCUUGGCGGUGGGGGUCCUGGCGGCGGGGGUCUUGGCGGCGGGGGUCUUGGCAGCGGGGGUCCUGGCAGCGGGGGUCUUGGCGGGCGUGGCGGCAGCCAGCGGGGUCUUCUUGGCUGAAGAAGCAGCUCUGAGCGCUUUAGUCUUGGGCGCCGGUGUGCCUGGAGCAGCCGGGCUGGUGGUGGUGGUGGAGGCCUCCUGCGGUGGAUCAGCGGCUCCAUCUUCAUCACUAGACUCACUGCUGGACGAGGCCGGGGGUUUGGACUUGGUAGGACCAGCCGCUGCCUUCACUGGGGGUUUGACAGCCUGGGUCGGGGUGGUCGGUCUCGCUGGGGGCUUUGUUCUCUGUUUUUUCAAACGUUGGAAGAAAAUCAGUGAGGAAUGA
Molecule: long non-coding RNA, 1149 nt
Filed under: Gadus morhua (Atlantic cod)
Lineage: Eukaryota; Metazoa; Chordata; Actinopteri; Gadiformes; Gadidae
Description: lncRNA (ENSGMOG00000029518.1)
Source: RNAcentral